CCUACGGGAGGCAGCAGUGGGGAAUUUUGGACAAUGGGCGAAAGCCUGAUCCAGCAAUGCCGCGUGAGUGAAGAAGGCCUUCGGGUUGUAAGGCUCUUUUGUCAGGGAAGAAACGGUGAGGGCUAAUAUCCCUUGCUAAUGACGGUACCUGAAGAAUAAGCACCGGCUAACUACGUGCCAGCAGCCGCGGUAAUACGUAGGGUGCAAGCGUUAAUCGGAAUUACUGGGCGUAAAGCGUGCGCAGGCGGUUUUGUAAGUCUGUCGUGAAAUCCCCGGGCUCAACCUGGGAAUUGCGAUGGAGACUGCAAGGCUAGAAUCUGGCAGAGGGGGGUAGAAUUCCACGUGUAGCAGUGAAAUGCGUAGAGAUGUGGAGGAACACCGAUGGCGAAGGCAGCCCCCUGGGUCAAGAUUGACGCUCAUGCACGAAAGCGUGGGGAGCAAACAGGAUUAGAUACCCUGGUAGUCCACGCCCUAAACGAUGUCUACUAGUUGUCGGGUUUUAAUUAACUUGGUAACGCAGCUAACGCGUGAAGUAGACCGCCUGGGGAGUACGGUCGCAAGAUUAAAACNCAAAUGAAAUUGACGG
RNAcentral lists this ribosomal RNA (586 nucleotides) under uncultured bacterium. RNAcentral describes it as "bacterial SSU rRNA". It matches the Rfam family "Bacterial small subunit ribosomal RNA", at positions 338 to 916 of the family's 1533-position model. The record is from RNAcentral.